RNAcentral lists this ribosomal RNA (253 nucleotides) under uncultured bacterium. RNAcentral describes it as "partial 16S ribosomal RNA". It matches the Rfam family "Bacterial small subunit ribosomal RNA", at positions 524 to 776 of the family's 1533-position model. The record is from RNAcentral.
UACAGAGGUCUCAAGCGUUGUUCGGAUUCAUUGGGCGUAAAGGGUGCGUAGGCGGCGCGGUAAGUCGGGUGUGAAAUCUCGGAGCUUAACUCCGAAACUGCAUUCGACACUGCCGUGCUUGAGGACUGGAGAGGAGACUGGAAUUUACGGUGUAGCGGUGAAAUGCGUAGAUAUCGUAAGGAAGACCAGUGGCGAAGGCGGGUCUCUGGACAGUUCCUGACGCUGAGGCACGAAGGUCAGGGGAGCAAACGGG